CCACCUAAAGUGUGGGUUCCCUCCCACCUCUGGGUGGCUUUUUGGUUUUAUUUCUGUUUUGUUUUUUCUCGAUUUAUGGCAGAUAUGUGGAUGUCUGUGGAUGGUUCUUUAAUCUUUUUUUUUUUUUUUCAGUUCGUUUUGUGAUGAGUUUAUUACAUGCAGGUUUUGACUUCAUAGAUCAACAGCUCUGUUCUUCUGUCUAGACUAGUGAUUGGUUGUCGGAGGCAACUCGCAGAGUUAUAUCUCAAAAGGCGUGAUUGGAUCGCUAAAGAGCACAUCUUCCACACCUUUAGCCAGCGUCAUCUUCAAUGAGAGAUACAAAAGAUGGAGAGAUUAGAAGAGACAAAAACAAGAAGAGAGAGGGAAAGAAAGCAGCAAAGGAGAGAUAAAGGGAGGAUAAAGGAAUGCACAUAUAAAGAUAAAUAAAAUAGAAUCCUAGAAGUGUAUAUAAAUUCUUAUUUGUACUAGCUUUAGAGAAAAAAGAAAGCGACAAAAAAAAGAGAGUAAGAGAUCGAAAAGAUGACGGUUUUCAAGGUUGAGAUUUCUUAGCCCAUCGGUGGAGGAAUCCUACCCUGUCCAUGGUAAAGAGUUUCAUUCAAUUUUGAUGAUUCUCUUGCUGUGAUUUCUGUAUAGUUUUAGUUUUGGUCUUAUGAUCUGUAGUGAGGUGUUUGGUUGGGAUUCGAUUUUGUUCGUGUUCGGUGUGUGAGCAGUGCAAUUGUGUCUUUGGUUGCAUGGUUUAUUUUUACGCCUCAAAUCUUGUUGUUGAAGGUGGUGCGAAUGAUAGAUUACUCGGCGCUGGAGUGCGAAUCUGCCUCCUUCUUGCGGCCCCAUAGUUAUAUGAAAUUGAAAACACCAUGACAUCAUUUCUUCACUUUGGAUUUCAAUUGGCGAUUCUGGUCUUGAGUCUGUGCGUAUGGUUGUCAGCAGUCUCAUUCUGGCGAGGUAGAGGGAUGGAGCAAUGGAUUGUUCAAAAAAAUUCUUGAGAUGAGCUAGAUUCUAUUCGGGUUUAGGCUGGGAUUUGAGUUUAUUUUGCUACUAGGCUAGUUUGGCUUUGGAAUCAGUUGUCUACUUGGACUUUAAGUGCAAUUAGCCUUGUAUGAUAAAAAAAAAUUA
This is a long non-coding RNA of Manihot esculenta (cassava), 1113 nucleotides long. RefSeq lists it as uncharacterized. NCBI's taxonomy places the organism in Eukaryota, Viridiplantae, Streptophyta, Magnoliopsida, Malpighiales, Euphorbiaceae. The record is from RefSeq and is a predicted model, not a curated record. The transcript has 3 exons.